Non-coding RNA from Vicia faba (fava bean), 234 nucleotides. Lineage: Eukaryota; Viridiplantae; Streptophyta; Magnoliopsida; Fabales; Fabaceae. The record is from the annotation of a GenBank genome assembly.
AUGCUUAAUCGUGAUAACAAAAUUUUGAUACUCUCUCUUCCCUAUUCACGCUUCUUUACCUCUCUCAAUCCAUUCCUCUAUGAUCAAAAUCACUCCCCUGUUCAUCUUCUUCUCUUGCUCUCACACUUCAUUACCAUCAUCAUCGAUUCCUCUCUCUCACGCUCUUAUCUCCGAUUCUCUCACGUUUCUGCUAUUUUUCUCUUCAAACAAAACCAUCCUAUCACAAAUCAAUAA